GCCUGGGUGGCUCAGUCGGUUGAGCGUCUGACUCCAGCUCAGGUCAUGAUCUCGUGGUCCGUGAGUUCGAGCCCCGCGUCGGGCU
Molecule: transfer RNA, 85 nt
Filed under: Felis catus (domestic cat)
Lineage: Eukaryota; Metazoa; Chordata; Mammalia; Carnivora; Felidae
Rfam family: tRNA
About the family: Transfer RNA (tRNA) molecules are approximately 80 nucleotides in length.
Source: Rfam by way of RNAcentral